UCAUUUUUUUCAUUGCAGUAUUUAUGGGGAUCCUUGUGAGUGUUUGCACCAUAGAGAAAAAAGUAUUUGACUAAGCAUUAACCAUUCCAGCUAAGAGAUCAGUGUUUGUCAUUCAAAAUAGCUGAGGUGGUUGGGAGAGGACAGCCAGUAUUCCCCAAAAGAGGUUUAUUAGUUUCCUAGGCUGCUGUCACAAAUUGACACAGACUUAGUGACUUAAAACAACAGAAAUGUAUUCGCUUACAGCUUGGGAGACCAGAAAUCCAAGGUGAGUUUCCCUGGGUUAAAGUGAAGGUGUUGGCCCGGCUGGUUCCUUCUGGAGGCUCCGAUGGAGACUGUUCUUUGCUUUUUCAGCCUCUGGUUGCUGCUGGCAUUCCUUCGUUUGUGUUUGUGUCACUACAUUCUCUGCUUCUCUGGCACAUGGACUCUUCUUCUGCAUCCAGUUUUCCUCUGUCUUCCUCUCAUAAGCAUGCGUGUGGUAGCAUUUAGCGUCCACCCAGGCAAUCUAGAUUAAUCUCUCACCUCAAGCUCCUUAACUGAAUCACAUCUGC
Molecule: long non-coding RNA, 548 nt
Filed under: Homo sapiens (human)
Lineage: Eukaryota; Metazoa; Chordata; Mammalia; Primates; Hominidae
Description: non-protein coding lnc-HLX-2:10
Source: RNAcentral